GAUGAACGCUGGCGGCGUGCCUAAUACAUGCAAGUCGAGCGAACGGACGAGAAGCUUGCUUCUCUGAUGUUAGCGGCGGACGGGUGAGUAACACGUGGAUAACCUACCUAUAAGACUGGGAUAACUUCGGGAAACCGGAGCUAAUACCGGAUAAUAUUUUGAACCGCAUGGUUCAAAAGUGAAAGACGGUCUUGCUGUCACUUAUAGAUGGAUCCGCGCUGCAUUAGCUAGUUGGUAAGGUAACGGCUUACCAAGGCAACGAUGCAUAGCCGACCUGAGAGGGUGAUCGGCCACACUGGAACUGAGACACGGUCCAGACUCCUACGGGAGGCAGCAGUAGGGAAUCUUCCGCAAUGGGCGAAAGCCUGACGGAGCAACGCCGCGUGAGUGAUGAAGGUCUUCGGAUCGUAAAACUCUGUUAUUAGGGAAGAACAUAUGUGUAAGUAACUGUGCACAUCUUGACGGUACCUAAUCAGAAAGCCACGGCUAACUACGUGCCAGCAGCCGCGGUAAUACGUAGGUGGCAAGCGUUAUCCGGAAUUAUUGGGCGUAAAGCGCGCGUAGGCGGUUUUUUAAGUCUGAUGUGAAAGCCCACGGCUCAACCGUGGAGGGUCAUUGGAAACUGGAAAACUUGAGUGCAGAAGAGGAAAGUGGAAUUCCAUGUGUAGCGGUGAAAUGCGCAGAGAUAUGGAGGAACACCAGUGGCGAAGGCGACUUUCUGGUCUGUAACUGACGCUGAUGUGCGAAAGCGUGGGGAUCAAACAGGAUUAGAUACCCUGGUAGUCCACGCCGUAAACGAUGAGUGCUAAGUGUUAGGGGGUUUCCGCCCCUUAGCGCUGCAGCUAACGCAUUAAGCACUCCGCCUGGGGAGUACGACCGCAAGGUUGAAACUCAAAGGAAUUGGCGGGGACCCGCACAAGCGGUGGAGCAUGUGGUUUAAUUCGAAGCAACGCGAAGAACCUUACCAAAUCUUGACAUCCUUUGACAACUCUAGAGAUAGAGCCUUCCCCUUCGGGGGACAAAGUGACAGGUGGUGCAUGGUUGUCGUCAGCUCGUGUCGUGAGAUGUUGGGUUAAGUCCCGCAACGAGCGCAACCCUUAAGCUUAGUUGCCAUCAUUAAGUUGGGCACUCUAAGUUGACUGCCGGUGACAAACCGGAGGAAGGUGGGGAUGACGUCAAAUCAUCAUGCCCCUUAUGAUUUGGGCUACACACGUGCUACAAUGGACAAUACAAAGGGCAGCGAAACCGCGAGGUCAAGCAAAUCCCAUAAAGUUGUUCUCAGUUCGGAUUGUAGUCUGCAACUCGACUACAUGAAGCUGGAAUCGCUAGUAAUCGUAGAUCAGCAUGCUACGGUGAAUACGUUCCCGGGUCU
RNAcentral lists this ribosomal RNA (1372 nucleotides) under uncultured bacterium. Its description in RNAcentral is "bacterial SSU rRNA". It matches the Rfam family "Bacterial small subunit ribosomal RNA", at positions 28 to 1381 of the family's 1533-position model. The record is from RNAcentral.